Molecule: ribosomal RNA, 889 nt
Filed under: Chryseobacterium bernardetii
Lineage: Bacteria; Pseudomonadati; Bacteroidota; Flavobacteriia; Flavobacteriales; Weeksellaceae
Description: bacterial SSU rRNA
Rfam family: Bacterial small subunit ribosomal RNA
Source: RNAcentral
UGUAAACUUCUUUUGUAUAGGGAUAAACCUAGAUACGUGUAUCUAGCUGAAGGUACUAUACGAAUAAGCACCGGCUAACUCCGUGCCAGCAGCCGCGGUAAUACGGAGGGUGCAAGCGUUAUCCGGAUUUAUUGGGUUUAAAGGGUCCGUAGGCUGAUGUGUAAGUCAGUGGUGAAAUCUCACAGCUUAACUGUGAAACUGCCAUUGAUACUGCAUGUCUUGAGUGUUGUUGAAGUAGCUGGAAUAAGUAGUGUAGCGGUGAAAUGCAUAGAUAUUACUUAGAACACCAAUUGCGAAGGCAGGUUACUAAGCAACAACUGACGCUGAUGGACGAAAGCGUGGGGAGCGAACAGGAUUAGAUACCCUGGUAGUCCACGCCGUAAACGAUGCUAACUCGUUUUUGGGUUUUCGGAUUCAGAGACUAAGCGAAAGUGAUAAGUUAGCCACCUGGGGAGUACGAACGCAAGUUUGAAACUCAAAGGAAUUGACGGGGGCCCGCACAAGCGGUGGAUUAUGUGGUUUAAUUCGAUGAUACGCGAGGAACCUUACCAAGGCUUAAAUGGGAAAUGACAGGUUUAGAAAUAGACUUUUCUUCGGACAUUUUUCAAGGUGCUGCAUGGUUGUCGUCAGCUCGUGCCGUGAGGUGUUAGGUUAAGUCCUGCAACGAGCGCAACCCCUGUCACUAGUUGCCAUCAUUAAGUUGGGGACUCUAGUGAGACUGCCUACGCAAGUAGAGAGGAAGGUGGGGAUGACGUCAAAUCAUCACGGCCCUUACGCCUUGGGCCACACACGUAAUACAAUGGCCGGUACAGAGGGCAGCUACACAGUGAUGUGAUGCAAAUCUCGAAAGCCGGUCUCAGUUCGGAUUGGAGUCUGCAACUCGACUCUA